UACGAAGGGGGCUAGCGUUGUUCGGAAUCACUGGGCGUAAAGGGCGCGUAGGCGGCUUUAUAAGUCGGGGGUGAAAGCCUGUGGCUCAACCACAGAAUUGCCUUCGAUACUGUAUGGCUUGAGACCGGAAGAGGUUAGUGGAACUGCGAGUGUAGAGGUGAAAUUCGUAGAUAUUCGCAAGAACACCAGUGGCGAAGGCGGCUGACUGGUCCGGAUCUGACGCUGAGGCGCGAAAGCGUGGGGAGCAAACA
Molecule: ribosomal RNA, 251 nt
Filed under: uncultured prokaryote
Description: partial 16S ribosomal RNA
Rfam family: Bacterial small subunit ribosomal RNA
Source: RNAcentral